GAUUACAGGCACGCGCCACCACUCCCAGUUUACACCCCGCCACUCCUGAGCACCGCACACCGGCUUCCUCCCAGUCCCUCAUCUGAGAACUCAUGAAGCCACUUGGAAUCCCUCUCUGCUUUGCCUGGCUCAUUCCAUGUCAAUUUCAGAUCUUCACUUCAGGUCAGCUCCAAGGAGGCUAUCCUUGCCCAUCUUCCUAAAAUAGAGCUCUCAAAACCUGGCUGUUUUCCUUCAGAGCACUGGCCUCCAAUUGCUCCGGUAGAUUGCAAAUGACCUGCUUUCUUUCUGUUCCCGGGCGUUUGGACCCCUGUCUUGGACCGCUGUCGGAUAGUAAAUCCCAAGUAAGGUACCUGCCGUCGGCAGAUUUGAGCUUUCUUCUUGGACACCUAAUACCCAGAGUCCUCCAGGCUCCGGUAGAUUGCAAAUGACCUGCUUUCUUUCUGUUCCCGGGCGGCAUCGGACCCGUCGGAGAGUAAAUCCCAAGUAAGGUACCUGCCGUUGGCAGAUUUGAGCUUUCUUCUUGGACACCUAAUACCCACAGUCCUCCAGGCUCCGGUAGAUUGCAAAUGACCUGCUUUCUUUCUGUUCCCGGGUGGCAUCGACCCGUCGGAGAGUAAAUCCCAAGUAAGGUACCUGCCGUUGGCAGAUUUGAGCUUUCUUCUUGGACACCUAAUACCCACAGUCCUCCAGUAAAUCCCAAGCAAGGUACCUGCCGUCAGCAGAUUUGAGCUUUCUUCUUGGACACCUAAUACCCACAGUCCUCCAAGCUCCGGUAGAUUGCAAAUGACCUGCUUUCUUUCUGUUCCCGGGCUGCGUUCGGACCCCUGUCGGAUAGUAACUCCCAAGCUCCGGUAGAUUGCAAAUGACCUGCUUUCUUUCUGUUCCCGGGCUGCGUUCGGACCCCUGUCGGAGAGUAAAUCCGAAGUAAGGUGCCACCAUCCAAGUGAGGAUUUCACUGUUCACAGGCAUUUGAGACACACCAGCGGCCGGCGGUUCUCACUGCUCUUCAUAUGGAGGCAACCAUAUAUGGGUAAGUCAUUUAGUCUCUUAGGUAGGCGAACUGAGGCCAAUCUCCCCACUUUUAGGGCUGUGAAACUGUUCUGUAUGAUACAAUAAUGGUGGAUAUGCGUCACUAUACAUUCGUCCAAAUCCACAGAAUGUACAACACCAAGAGUGAACCCUACUGUAAACUAUGGACUCUGAGUGACAAUGAUGCAUCAAAUAGGUUCAUCAGUUGUAAUAAAUGCACUGCUCUGGUGCAGAAUGUUGAUGAUGGAGGAGACAGGGGUA
Molecule: long non-coding RNA, 1290 nt
Filed under: Homo sapiens (human)
Lineage: Eukaryota; Metazoa; Chordata; Mammalia; Primates; Hominidae
Description: TPT1 antisense RNA 1
Source: RNAcentral